CUUUGUGGUGGUUUUCUUUCCGGUACAUUUGGUAAGUUUUCAAAUGGGCCCAACUCUGCCACAUAUAUUAUACCAGAGCUCGCAAAGGCUUGAGGACAGAGAUCUCUCUUAAGCCUUUCUGCAUCAGAGAUGGGCUCCCCCACGU
Molecule: small nucleolar RNA, 145 nt
Filed under: Prolemur simus (greater bamboo lemur)
Lineage: Eukaryota; Metazoa; Chordata; Mammalia; Primates; Lemuridae
Description: Small nucleolar RNA SNORA12 (ENSPSMG00000017237.1)
Rfam family: Small nucleolar RNA SNORA12
About the family: U108 belongs to the H/ACA family of snoRNAs. The sequence is predicted to guide the pseudouridylation of the U372 residue in the 28S rRNA subunit. However it has not been reported as a pseudouridylation site.
Source: Rfam by way of RNAcentral